This 253-nucleotide ribosomal RNA is filed under the name uncultured bacterium. Its description in RNAcentral is "partial 16S ribosomal RNA". It matches the Rfam family "Bacterial small subunit ribosomal RNA", at positions 524 to 776 of the family's 1533-position model. The record is from RNAcentral.
UACAGAGGGUGCGAGCGUUAAUCGGAAUUACUGGGCGUAAAGCGUGCGUAGGCGGUCGUGUAAGUCGGGUGUGAAAGCCCCGGGCUCAACCUGGGAAUUGCAUUCGAGACUGCACGGCUGGAGUGCGGAAGAGGGAAGCGGAAUUUCCGGUGUAGCGGUGAAAUGCGUAGAUAUCGGAAGGAACAUCAGUGGCGAAAGCGGCUUCCUGGUCCAGCACUGACGCUCAGGCACGAAAGCGUGUGGAGCAAACAGG